UCGGCAGUCGCACGCGGAGACCCGUAGGUUCUGUUAGCGUGAUUAAAAUCGGUUAUCUUUUAAUACCAAAGUAGAUCGUCGAAAACAGAAUAAUUUUGAUACAUGAUGUAAGAGGGAGAGAAGUAGUUCAAUACGAGAUUGUAAGAAAGCCAAAAUUGUCGCUUAUUCUUCGAUAUAGUUUCACGUGCGCGUGUGUACUUAUGUGUCUACGAGUGUGAGUGGGUUAACUGGAGCACGUGUACGUAGCCAAUUAAGAAGAAAUAGUCGAAUCGAGCCAGUGGAUUUUCACAUUUUUUUUUUACCUUAUAUUUUAAAUAGAUCUGAGUUGUGUGAAACACUCUUGCUGCUCAGCGAUUCCAAAUGAAUCCGACAACAUUGAAGAAUUGGUUGGUACGCGGGGAGCUCGAGAAGCUUGAAAAUAUUGUAUUGGAGGGACGUGGCGCACGUUUGUUAGGCGAACAUUCUCCAGAUCUUAGAACCCGUGUCUUCCUGAAGGGACUCCCGAAUUACUUGACGAAGAUAUCACAAACUCACGACGCGGUUACGCGAGGUUCCUUGGUAGAAACUCAGAGAAUCGUAACGGAAGAACCAAAGAAAAAGUUGGCUAUCGCAAAAGAUCCUUCCGGAAUCCCACUCAUUCACAAGGCGAUUUAUCAUGAUCAACCAGAAAUAGUCGCAUGGCUUGUACAUAAUUACCCGAUCACGACUCAACAAAAGGACAAAGAAGGUAGAACGGCUUUACAUUAUUGCGCUGCCUGUAGAGAUCCUGGCACGGUGUGGGAUAUUUUGAUAGAGGGUGGCUGCGACGCCAGUGUUUGCGAUAAGCGUGGAAAUCCGGCGGCUUAUUAUCUGGAACACAGUUCCGAAGUGGAGUUAGCCGAAACGGAGAAGAUGUCUUAUCGCAAGACCAGCACUACGAAAGAAAGCUUUGACUUCAAGCCUUCCAAUAUAAGAAUAUGGAUUCAUAAUCGGGAUAUUAGAAAAUUGCAGCAGGUUCUCUGGGAAGGUCACGGUGGCAAAUUACGCCGCGAGACGAGCAACAAUCCGAGGGUGAAGAAGUUUUUGGAAGCAGUACCUUUUAUAAUGGGUACCGUGAAAGAUGUACACUCAGCGACUGUGAAAAACGAUUUGCAAGGUUUGAAAAAGAAAUUAGAGGAUCCAGUCUCGCCUAUUAUUUUAUGUAGCAAAGAUGCAAACGGUUUGAACGUUUUGCACAAGGCUGCCGGAUUGGGUUAUCUGGAAGUCGCUCGUGAAAUCCUUGAAAAGUAUCCAUCGAUAGUAACGGCCCAAGACAAUGAAGGUAAAACACCGUUACAUUAUGCGUCUGCGUUGAAGGACGACGGUGCCAUGUACAACCUAUUGACCGAGUAUGGAGCCGAUGAAAGCAAAUUAGAUAACAAACAGAAGGCAGCCGCUUUUUAUAAAAAUCGUCCAUUCGAUGUGGACCUUUCCAAUCUAGUCGUGGUACCGGAAGCGCCUCGAGUAUCGGGAAUGUCCUAUCCAAAAAAUUGGGACUGGAGAAUCUUGGAGGUAGCUGAAACGUUUGUACGUCCUCCAAAAAAAUCGCUAAGCGGCAAUGACGUCGACAGUGCAUUUGAAAGCACCGAAUCAUCAAUUAAGAGCUCAAACGAGAUUACCGAGAAUGCGAAAAUAGUCGAGGAACCGAAGAAUGAUUCGAUGAUGGAAGGAGAGGGUCUGUCCGAGCCUACGGCCGAAGAAGUCAAAGAGAACGAAGAAACGGAAGAAAAAUCGUCCGAUGAUGAUGUAAUCACUGGCGCGAAAGAAAAUGAGAAAGACGACGCAGAAGACGAUGAGAUAGACAACGCGAAGGACGAGGAGAUAGACGACGCGAAAGAUGACGAGAAAGACGACGAAACGACGGAAGAAAUAAAGGAAAACAAUGCAAAAGAGCAAGCUCCAGAGAUCGAGGAAUCUGAUAAGGUCGAGGAUACAACGAAUGAGCCGAUUGUUACCGAUCCAGAGGAGAGGAGUGAUCCUAGUACGGGUGACUCUGGAGUCGAUGAUCCAACGAACGAAGAUGAUCAGGUCAUAGUCGGUGAACACGAAGAGUUACCAGAAACGGAAUUGAACGAGGGUAGCAUGAUUCUGGAUCCGGAAGUGGAGAAUUUAUUGGAGAACGGAAAUAUGGAACAAUUGGCUGCCUUGGUAUUGAACGGCGAAGGUAGACGACUUGUUGGUCGGCAAUCAAAUAAUCCCGAACUUCAGGCUUUCAUCGACAACGUGCCUGCUUAUAUGGGAAAAAUUCACGCCGUACAUAUGGCAGCGAGAGAAGGGAAUCUAAGAGAUUUGCAAAGUGCAUUGGAUCGUCGUAAAUUUGCCAUAGCAAGGGACGGAUCGUCACCUCGUGGUGCAACGCCUCUUCACGUCGCAGUUGUCUUUGGGAAUACCGCUGUUAUCAGAUAUCUAGCAGGAAGAUUCCCGGAAACAGCACAUGCGAUCGAUCUCGACGGUAGAACUCCUUUGCAUUAUGCAACAACGCUGGCCGACAAUGGACAUUACUACAAUCUUCUUCUUAAUUUGGGAGCGAAUCCGCUUGUAAAAGACAAUUUAGGAAAUAAGGCGGAUCAUUACAAACUAAAUCAGGAUGACCUAUCACACAAAAGAUUACUUCGUGAUUUCGGAGCCAACGAAAAACUCGCUGAAGAAAUGUUGACGGACAAAGUACCCGGAGGAGACAAGUACUCGGCGCGACGAGACGCGAGCGAACCAGAAACAUUGGCAACCUUGGAGAGAUGCUUCCGCUUGUUGGCUGGCGCUAGACGAAAUUCGGCUGCUAGGACACCCUCGAAUCCUGGUACACUGCUUGGUCGUUGUCUGAAACGGCCGAUAUUCGAUCGCAUAAAGCACCGUGUGACACGCAUGGACCACAAUCUUUUUGAUGUUAUCUGGCCCGCUUUUAAGAAAUACGGUAAUCCUACCGCUACUAGCAAGACCAGCGAUAGUGGCCACUCCGUCGUGAGCAUGGACGAUACUGUCGAUAACGAAAUCAUCAUCGUGCCUGAUUACGAAAGCUAUGUGGUCUUUGGCGAACUUUUCGAUCCAAUUAUCAGAGAGUUGCAUUGCCUAACAGCGAGCGGAGAUAUUCCGGACCAUCCGUCAACUCGUUUUUUCGAUAUGUACGAUUCGGCCGAUGGCAAAGGAGAUUAUAUAGAUGAAGCAGCCGUGUCUGCUUUGGAAAAUUAUGAUUUGGAUCCAUCCGCAAAGUACGUUCAGGCCGGCAUCAUUGAAUGUUGCAGAAAUCUUGAGGAUUAUACUCUACCGUUGACUCUUACCGUGAAUCAACUCGAAGACGUCGAACGGGUGCUAACCAGCGAGUUUAUGAGCCCAGAAAUUUCCGUGAUAAUGGCGGAAGGUAGUAGCGAGGACGAGGCUGGAAAUUAUUUGACUUUGAGCGAACUUUUAGAUCAGCCGAGUCCAUUGAGAGCCCAAUUGGCAGCAGCGGGUCUCUUGCUGCCCAUAACAGAGUUCGAAAUCCACGAUGCUAGACGACUUCAUGGUAGACAUUGGCCGUACGGCCGUGGAGUUUACAUUACUGCUGCUGGUGAUUUGGCAGCUUGGGUCAACGUUCAAGAUCAUUUAAGAGUGAUAUCUCGUACUACGGACAACAGACCAGGCCUAAUCGGCCGAGCCUACGUAAAAUUAGCCAAAGUGAUGCGCCUAUUAGAUCAAAGAUUGCGAUUUAAGAAGGACGUUAAAUUUGGUUUCCUUAGCUCCAGACUCCACGCAAUCGGCAACACGUUAAAAUUUACUCUGAUCAUAAAGUUUUCCGAAUUGUCGAAAGAACGAGAUCAUCUUAAACAUUUAUGCGUCGUCCGUGGACUCAGCUUGAGCAAUACACCGCGCAAGGAUACUUAUAAAAUAUCCAAUCAGCAAUGUUUGUCAAUUUCAGAAUUGCAUAGCUUGCAAGACUUUUCAAGGGCUAUUUCAAAUAUUCUCUUACUAGAGAAAGAAUUAACAUUGAACAAUUCUAUCAGAAUUGCCAGCAUGAUCGCCGGUAUUUUUCGGAAAAAGACCAAUUCGAGAGGACAUCGAUCUUGAUCGACGACGAAACGACUCAAUCACGAUCGACGGGGACGACAAAUUUCCACCUUGCAAGAGAGAUAAUGAUUCUAACAGAGUAUCGUCGACAUCGAUCUAUUACGCUUCUAAGAAGAUAAAAUUUUAGAAUCAUUUUUAAGAGAUCUUUUAUGCUGAUUAUUUUUGUGACAAAUUCAUUUUAUUCCUCUUUCACAGUCCGAGUUAUUAAUAAUUGCUUCUUGUAGUAUACAGAAAGAAAGAGCUAUCGAGCGAGCGAGCGAGUGAGCGAGAGAGAGAGAGAGAGAGAGAGAGAGAGAGAGAGAGAGAGAGAGAGAGAGAUUUUUAAACUCUUCUCUACAAUGUGUUACGUUGGAAAGAUGUGUGAACGUUGUCUGACUCUUCCCGUGCAUCGGACAAUGUUAUUCAGUUAAAGUAAUUAUUUUAGUAAAAUAAAUAAAAUAUUGCGUGCUUGGAUUAUUUGCCGAGAAGAAGGUCGCAUUUUUUAUUAGAUGAUAAUCAACUCGAUAUUCCUAUAUUUCGCACAGAGGAAGGUCGUUAUUUAGCAUCGUCUUUAGGUGAUCCAUUGAUCAAGGGUCUAACUGAAGUGGCGAAUGCACGUCCGAACGAUCCAGUCACGUA
This is an RNA transcript of Vespula vulgaris, 4677 nucleotides long. RefSeq lists it as uncharacterized. The record is from RefSeq and is a predicted model, not a curated record. The transcript has 16 exons. Lineage: Eukaryota; Metazoa; Arthropoda; Insecta; Hymenoptera; Vespidae.